UGGGGAAUAUUGCACAAUGGGCGCAAGCCUGAUGCAGCAACGCCGCGUGGAGGAUGACGGCCUUCGGGUUGUAAACCUCUUUUAGCAGGGAAGAAGCGAAAGUGACGGUACCUGCAGAAAAAGCACCGGCUAACUACGUGCCAGCAGCCGCGGUAAUACGUAGGGUGCAAGCGUUGUCCGGAAUUAUUGGGCGUAAAGAGCUCGUAGGCGGUCUGUCGCGUCUGCUGUGAAAUCCCCGAGGCUCAACCUCGGGCCUGCAGUGGGUACGGGCAGACUAGAGUGCGGUAGGGGAGAAUGGAACUCCUGGUGUAGCGGUGGAAUGCGCAGAUAUCAGGAAGAACACCGAUGGCGAAGGCAGUUCUCUGGGCCGUAACUGACGCUGAGGAGCGAAAGCGUGGGGAGCGAACAGGAUUAGAUACCCUGGUAGUCCACGCCGUAAACGUUGGGCGCUAGAUGUGGGGACCAUUCCACGGUUUCCGUGUCGCAGCUAACGCAUUAAGCGCCCCGCCUGGGGAGUACGGCCGCAAGGCUAAAACUCAAAGGAAUUGACGGGGUCAUAGCUG
Molecule: ribosomal RNA, 563 nt
Filed under: uncultured bacterium
Lineage: Bacteria
Description: partial 16S ribosomal RNA
Rfam family: Bacterial small subunit ribosomal RNA
Source: RNAcentral